CUGUGUUCACUAGAACAGCAACAAGCAGAGGACAGCAUCUUACAUCCUUCCCCACAAAAGAUGGCUGGCCUGGGCUGGAUGGCUGUGGUGCUGGCCUUCUUCCUGUCUCCUCCAAACAGUUUGGCUGCUGUGGACCAGACGUGGCUCACCAGUAUUGUAGAAGGCAUCAAAAAUGAGUAUGCACUUGGUGACGCCUUCAGUCUGGCUGUGAACAUCCCACAGAAUCAAGACCCAAACACUCUCAAGCAAGUCCUUCAAGCCGACCCAGCGGACAAAGUGAAAGAAACUGUUGCAAACAGUCAAGUGUACCAAGGCACCAGGGUGGUUGCAGCCACGCAGGCAGAUGCAGUGUCACGUGUUCUUGAGAACCUACAGCCGCUUAUACAAAGCAGUCAGGAUAAUGUCCUCAUAAUCUACUCUGAAGGAUCCCCAGAUGCAAAUGGUAUUGCUACCAAGAUUAAUGAUGUCACUCAGAAAUGGAGCAGUUAUGUCUUUGCCUUUUCUAAAGUAGUUGAUGUUCCUGAUGCUGACACAUCUCAGCUGGCUCAAUCCUUUAAACAACUUGACAUUUCCAAACUCGGGCUUGACAACAUAUUCCGUUGUUAUAAACCUGGAGAUGAUGCUUUUCAGUGCACCAGCUGCUCCUCAGGUGGAGAUGUUACACCCUCAUGUGUGACAAAUACAUCUCCAUCAACUCAAGAGCAAGAUGCAGGUGCAGAAACAAGUACAUCUGCACCAGGCACUGGAGUAGACACCGCAGUAGCCACUGGUGAAGGCAAUGCUGAAGGCACUGGUACAGGUGCUGGUGUAGGCACUGGUGAAGGCACUGGUACAGGUGCUGGUGUAGGCACUGGUGAAGGCACUGGUACAGGUGCUGGUGUAGGCACUGGUGAAGGCACUGGUGCUGGUGCUGGCAUAGGCACUGCUAUAAGCGCUGGCAGACAAAGACGAAAGGGGAAAGCUGGCCGACUUAGGAAGUGCAGAGGCCGUCGUAGACGAGGAUGCAAGCGUAGACGAGGUAGUAGAUGGAGAAAAGGUGGUAAGGUUAGAAAAUGGCCCAAGCGAAAGAGAGGGCGCAAGGGAAGAAAACGCGGUAAGCUUCGUAGAGGUCGUAAAGGUAGAAAAAGGGGCAAACGUAGAAGAGGUGGCAAACGUAAAAGAGGAGGCAAACGUAGAAGAGGUGGCAGGCGUAGAAAAGGAGGCAAACGUAGAAGAGGUGGGAAGCGUAGAAGAGGUGGCUGGCGUAGAGGCAGACGUAGGCAGUAGAAAACAGCAACAACUGUAAGUACCUCUAAGUCGGAGUAACAGCCCAAAUAAAUCUCUGCUUCAUAAAAGUGCAUUUAUUUCUUUUUUCUCUUCUCUGUUUCUCCGUCUUUUUAAUGAUAGUUGUCCAUUUUACUUUUUAACCAAUCAAAACCAUCCAUCCAUCAGACAGACAACCAAGCACAUUCACAUUCACACCUACGACCAAUUUAGAAUCACUAAUUAGCCUGGGCAUGUCUUUGGACUGUGGGAAGAAGCUGGAGAAGCCGGUGAGACCCCAUGCUGCACAAGGAGAACGUGCAAACUCCACCAAAAAGAUUUUAGGGAUUGUCUAGCUGUGAGGUGACAGUGCUAUCCACUGCAGCACCGUGCCGCCCACCACCAGCGAUAUUUUUCUGACUGUCAACAAAUCCCAUGAAAAUAUCAGUACCAACAAUGACUGAAGCCAGCAAGUUGGUGCUGUGUGUGAAUCGAAAGCCUGAUAUAUUUCGUUCCUCUCAGCCAUAGAGUUCCGUUGUGGUUGAAAAGCUAUUAGCAGACAGUGCGCUACAGUAUGUUUCUCAUGAGCACACACUGCAGUUUAUUUUAAAUUAGUCUUACUAACUAAAACACCAAAUGAAAACUAGCACACCAGAGCAAAACCACAAUGCUCACUACUUUUUUUUUAAUGAAACAAUAUAUGUUUGUAAAGGUUUUUGUUAUAUUUACAGUAAUUUUCUUGAUUUAGAAUCUACAUGGCAUACUUAAAGCAAAGGAAAAAUGGUUCAAUGUAAAUCCACAUCAAUAUUUACAGUACUUCUGUCAUAUUAUUCUGUAUGCAACAUGUUAUGCAACAUAUUAUGAAAUCAUCUGAUGUUCUAUUCUUUCUUAUUAAAGCUUGGCUCAGC
Long non-coding RNA from Amphiprion ocellaris (clown anemonefish), 2150 nucleotides. Lineage: Eukaryota; Metazoa; Chordata; Actinopteri; Pomacentridae. The record is from Ensembl.